GCCAAAGUUGGAAGAUAAAAGUGCCGUGAUGAUAAUACUUUACUAAUUACUUGUUCAAAAGAAGCUGAUAAUCAUAACUGACAUAAAGUCUAAGCUGAUAUAGCUACUGGCCUAAACAAAAUGCCUAAAUAGAUCUGUGGUGUCCAAUACUUCUCAGUACAAAAAAGUACAACAGAAGAUUAACCAGAUAAUGCAAUUCUCGACCUAAGGCAAAACUCACGUGAUACCAAGCCAGGCAGUAUAAUCACAAGCUGCAACACUAGCAAGGACUUAUGCAAACGUCGCCAAAAUGUUCUUCUUGAGGGUGAACUCAUCCGCCUUAGUGGGGCUGAUUGACUUGGCAAGCAUGCGCUCUAAUCGCUGAAUCUCAUUGUUGGCGUAAUCAGCUCCUUUUUCCAUGGAACUCUUGGCAGCCUUUAGGUAAAUCUUGCCAUACCUUGCAGCAGAACCCUUCAGUUUUCCAGCUUCAUCUUCCAUCUUGCUAAAUACAGCUUUUUUUUUCCUCGUUUGUGGCACCGACGAACUCCUUCACUAAUGUAUCCAGUGAUUCGACAAUACCCGCCUUUGAAGUAAAUUGUCCUUUUGAAUCACGGCUAGUUCCACACUUCUCAUUGAUGAAGUUCACAAAGUCAUCUGCAUCUCGGCCACCAUCAUAAUCCUCACCAGCUUUGUUUCCCUUGGGGAAGAAUUUCAGUGUGGGAUAGCCACUUACACCAUACUUCUCUGCAAGAUCCUUGUGAUUAUCGGCAUCAAGGUUCGCAAUAAUAACAUCUUCCUCUUGCCUGAACGCUGUAGCUACCUUUUCGUAAAUAGGAGCAAGGCUUUUGCAAUGACCACACCAUGGUGCAUAAAAUUCAACCAACACAUCCUUGGUCUCAUCUAGCACAAUUUCAUCAAAGUUAUCUGAAGAUAGCACCACAACGCUAGACGGGAUAGAAGCAAUCUUCACAUUAGUCCCUGCUUCGCUGUUCACGUACUCGGCAAGGGCUUCAGCAGAUCGUGCACCUUCGUAUUUUUUUGGCUCCAGUGAUCCCUUUGGAAACCAUUGGAUAGUGGGGUAACCUUGAACCCCAUAUUUGCUGCAAACACUCUUAUGUUCAUCACAAUCAAUCUUUCCGAUCAAAACAGACUUUGCUUUCUUGAAACUUGCACCAAGCUUUUCAUACUCAGGAGCAAGCUUUUUACAGUGCCCACACCAAGGAGCGUAGAACUCAACGAGAGCAGCGCGAUCUUGACCGAUCUCCUUGUCGAAGUUUUCUUCGGUCAAAACAACGACAUCAUCUGCCAAAGCUGAAGAGAAGAAGAACAAAGCUAAAAUUGCUAAAGCACUACAGAUCUGUGAUCUCCCCAUUUUUACUAGCUCCUAUUCUUGUUAUUGUGAGUUAUAUUAUUUU
Molecule: unclassified non-coding RNA, 1394 nt
Filed under: Hevea brasiliensis (rubber tree)
Lineage: Eukaryota; Viridiplantae; Streptophyta; Magnoliopsida; Malpighiales; Euphorbiaceae
Source: RNAcentral